UAGCGUAAGCUAGUAAGACCCCUUGAAGACUACAAGGUUGAUAGGUCAGAGGUGUAAGUAUGGUAACAUAUUUAGCUGACUGAUACUAAUAGGUCGAGGGCUUGACCAA
Molecule: ribosomal RNA, 109 nt
Organism: Clostridium puniceum
Lineage: Bacteria; Bacillati; Bacillota; Clostridia; Eubacteriales; Clostridiaceae
Rfam family: Bacterial large subunit ribosomal RNA
Source: Rfam